This 613-nucleotide ribosomal RNA is filed under the name uncultured bacterium. Its description in RNAcentral is "bacterial SSU rRNA". It matches the Rfam family "Bacterial small subunit ribosomal RNA", at positions 68 to 714 of the family's 1533-position model. The record is from RNAcentral.
GGGGUCGGAACUUCGGUUCCGGCUUACGUGGCGCACGGGUGAGUAACACGUGGGAAUCUGCCCAUCUAUGGGGAAUAACUGCGGGAAACUGCAGCUAAUACCGCAUACGCCCUUCGGGGGAAAGGCUUCGGCCGUAGAUGGAUGAGCCCGCGUCCGAUUAGCUAGUUGGUGGGGUAAAAGCCUACCAAGGCGACGAUCGGUAGCUGGUCUGAGAGGAUGAUCAGCCACACUGGGACUGAGACACGGCCCAGACUCCUACAGGAGGCAGCAGUGGGGAAUAUUGGACAAUGGGCGAAAGCCUGAUCCAGCAAUGCCGCGUGAGUGAUGAAGGUCUUCGGAUUGUAAAGCUCUUUCGACGGGGAAGAUAAUGACGGUACCCGUAGAAGAAGCCCCGGCUAACUUCGUGCCAGCAGCCGCGGUAAUACGAAGGGGGCUAGCGUUGUUCGGAUUUACUGGGCGUAAAGCGUGCGUAGGCGGCUUGUCAAGUCAGAAGUGAAAGCCCGGGGCUCAACUCCGGAACUGCUUUUGAGACUGGCAGGCUUGAGUUCGGGAGAGGGUAGUGGAAUUCCCAGUGUAGAGGUGAAAUUCGUAGAUAUUGGGAAGAACACCGGUG